RNAcentral lists this ribosomal RNA (521 nucleotides) under uncultured bacterium. RNAcentral describes it as "bacterial SSU rRNA". It matches the Rfam family "Archaeal small subunit ribosomal RNA", at positions 345 to 866 of the family's 1478-position model. The record is from RNAcentral.
AACCUCCGCAAUGUGAGAAAUCGCGACGGGGGGAUCCCAAGUGCCAUUCUUAACGGGAUGGCUUUUCAUUAGUGUAAAGAGCUUUUGGAAUAAGGGCUGGGCAAGACCGGUGCCAGCCGCCGCGGUAACACCGGCAGCUCUAGUGGUAGCAGUUUUUAUUGGGCCUAAAGCGUCCGUAGCCGGUUUAAUAAGUCUCUGGUGAAAUCCUGUAGCUUAACUGUGGGAAUUGCUGGAGAUACUAUUAGACUUGAGACCGGGAGAGGUUAGAGGUACUCCAGGGUAGAGGUGAAAUUCUGUAAUCCUGGGAGGACCGCCUGUUGCGAAGGCGUCUAACUGGAACGGUUCUGACGGUGAGGGACGAAAGUUAGGGGCGCGGAACCGGAUUAGAUACCCGGGUAGUCCUAACUGUAAACGAUGCGGACUUGGUGUUGGGGUGGCUUUGAGCUGCUCCAGUGCCGAAGGGAAGCUGUUAAGUCCGCCGCCUGGGAAGUACGGUCGCAAGACUGAAACUUAAAGGAAUU